UUUAGGCGUUUGGAAACAUGGCAUACGCCUACGCCUUCUCCAUCGUCCAGCACGAGAUCCAAGCAAUUCCAGAUAUCUCGAUUUGCUUAAUUAAUGACUUGUCAUGUCUUUGUUAAUUUGCUUAUUGUUGUACCCGGAUGGCGAUGUGUUUGUUGAUUUGUUCCUUACAUACAUAAUUACUACUGCAGGACACCUUGAAGGCGGUGGCGCCGUCAGAGGCGAAGGUGAUGAAGAAGGCGACGACGGUGAGCGUGGCGGUGACUACGGUGAUCUACCUGUUGUGUGGAUGCAUGGGGUACAUGGCGUUCGUCAACACGACGUCGGACAACAUCCUCACGACUUUGGCUUCUAUGAGCUCUUCUAGCUGGUGGACAUGGCCAACGCUAUGGCCUUCCACCUGGUCGGCACCUACGAGGAUUCGACUUUGGCUCAUGGUGAAGUUGUGCGGCUCCAUUCAGUUUGCCAACCUAGUCGGCUUCAGCUUCGCCAUCGGCAUUAUCAUCGCCGCCUCCGUCAGUAUGUUAGCGAUCAAAGAGGCGGGAUGCUUCCACAAGGAAGGGUACAUGGGCCAUUGCAGAAGUUCUUACACGAGACUGUACAUUGCCAUCUACGGCAUCGUUUAGAUCUUCUCGCAGAUCCCAGACCUGGAUGGUAUGUGAUGGUUGUUAACCCUCGCCGCCGUCAUGUCCUUCACCUAUACCCAGUGGCGGAGCUUCAUGAGGGGCAGGGGGCCAUGCCCCCCCCCCCCAUACUCUAGGAAUUUUUUUAAGUGUAUCUUCAUCAAGCUCCGCCACUGCCUAUACCACCAUCAGAAUCUCCCUCGGUGUUGCGCAAACCAAAGUGAAGGGGGGACUGCAGGGCAGCCUCAUCGGCGGCAUCAUCGGCAAUAUCGUGGUGAUGCAGUCUUUAGGCGUUUGGAAACAUGGCAUACGCCUACACCUUCUCCAUCG
Long non-coding RNA from Triticum dicoccoides, 950 nucleotides. RefSeq lists it as uncharacterized. The transcript is spliced from 4 exons. The record is from RefSeq and is a predicted model, not a curated record. NCBI's taxonomy places the organism in Eukaryota, Viridiplantae, Streptophyta, Magnoliopsida, Poales, Poaceae.